Molecule: long non-coding RNA, 1260 nt
Filed under: Homo sapiens (human)
Lineage: Eukaryota; Metazoa; Chordata; Mammalia; Primates; Hominidae
Description: HSALNT0385452
Source: RNAcentral
UGGUUAGCGGGCAGCGAGGGUCGCCUGGGCGGUGCGCAGCACGGCGGGAACAUGGCGCGCGGAACCGGCGCGCGCGCCUAGCUGGCGGGACCGUUAGAUCGAGGCGGAUGCGGCCCGGACCCCGUGGAUAUGGAGCAGUCGCCGCCGCUGGCGCCGGAGCCCACCCAAGGGCCAACCACCGCAAGGAGCUGAAGGCGGCGGGAGCCCGAGUCGCCGCCGGCGUCGGUGCCGUCAAAGAAGAUGGCCAGGGAGACAGCAGCGUGGUCAGAGUGGUAGGAGCUGGCCAUCGGUGAGAGCUGCUCCAUGCCUGGCUGCUGGGUUCUAGAGCUUGUGGACCACUGGCUUGCCUCACUGUGGUUGGUGGUGGCGGUGACAGAGUGUGCAGCACGACCAGAGUGGCUUUUCUGGCUUUGCCCGCCCAGCUGCUCCAUGCCAGGAGGAGGAGGAGACACCUAGAGCCUGCGACACCAUGGCUCGCCUCGCUGCAGCCGAGCAUGGUGGUUCACACCUGUAAUCUCAGCACAUUGGGAGGCCGAGGCGGGUGGAUCAUGAGGUCAAGAGAUCGAGACAAUCCUGGCCAACAUGGUGAAACCCCAUCUCUACUAAAAAUACAAAAAAUUAGCCGGGUGUGGUGCUGCGUGCCUGUAGUCCCAGCUACUGGAGAGGCUGAGGCAGGAGAAUUGCUUGAACCCAGGAGGCAAAGGUUGCAGCAAGCUGAGAUCGCACCACUGCACUCCAGCCUGGUGAUAGACCGAGACUCCAUCUCAAAAAAACAAAAAAAAAAUUAAAUUACUUUGUAUACAUAAAGUUCUAAUUUUUUAAAAAAUUGUAAAAUAUCCUAUACGUUCAUUAGUAUUACUUAUUUGUUUUUAUCACUCCAUCAAUGUGAGGCAUAAAUAAAAUUUGUUAAGUUAAAACUUUCGGUGUACUUUCAUUCAUUUAUUUAUUUAUUUUGAGACAGUUUCGCUCUAUCAUCCAGGCUGGAGUAUAGUGGCAUGAUCUCGGCUCACUGCAACCUCCGCCUCCAAGGCUCAAGUGAUUCUCGUGCCUCAGCCUUCCAAGUAGCUGGGACUACAGGCAUGCACCACCAUGCCUGGCUAAUUUUUAAAAGUCCUAUAUCAUAUAAGAACAUUAGAGUUCUGGGAUUAUUUUUUGUUUGUUUAAGAGACAGGGUCUCACUGUAUUACGCAGGCUGGGGUGCAGUGAUGUGAUCAUAGCUCACUGUAGCCUGGAACUCCUGAGCAAAGCAAUUCUCCCUCC